RNAcentral lists this ribosomal RNA (253 nucleotides) under uncultured bacterium. RNAcentral's name for it is "partial 16S ribosomal RNA". It matches the Rfam family "Bacterial small subunit ribosomal RNA", at positions 524 to 776 of the family's 1533-position model. The record is from RNAcentral.
UACGUAGGGUCCGAGCGUUGUCCGGAAUUAUUGGGCGUAAAGGGCUCGUAGGCGGUUCGUCACGUCGGGAGCGAAAACUCGGGGCUUAACCCCGAGCCUGCUUCCGAUACGGGCAGACUAGAGGUAGGCAGGGGAGAGCGGAACUCCUGGUGUAGCGGUGGAAUGCGCAGAUAUCAGGAAGAACACCGGUGGCGAAGGCGGCUCUCUGGGCCUUACCUGACGCUGAGGAGCGAAAGCGUGGGUAGCGAACAGG